UACGGGGGGGGCAAGCGUUGUUCGGAAUCACUGGGCUUAAAGGGCGCGUAGGCGGGUGCUCAAGUCUGUGGUGAAAUCCUCCGGCUCAACCGGAGAACUGCCAUGGAUACUGGGUGCCUCGAGGGUGGUAGGGGUAUGCGGAACUAUCGGUGGAGCGGUGAAAUGCGUUGAUAUCGAUAGGAACUCCGGUGGCGAAGGCGGCAUACUGGACCACUUCUGACGCUGAGGCGCGAAAGCCAGGGGAGCGAACGGG
This 253-nucleotide ribosomal RNA is filed under the name uncultured bacterium. Its description in RNAcentral is "partial 16S ribosomal RNA". It matches the Rfam family "Bacterial small subunit ribosomal RNA", at positions 524 to 776 of the family's 1533-position model. The record is from RNAcentral.